Molecule: ribosomal RNA, 704 nt
Filed under: Bacillus licheniformis
Lineage: Bacteria; Bacillati; Bacillota; Bacilli; Caryophanales; Bacillaceae
Description: bacterial SSU rRNA
Rfam family: Bacterial small subunit ribosomal RNA
Source: RNAcentral
GGUUCAAUCAUAAAAGGUGGCUUUUAGCUACCACUUACAGAUGGACCCGCGGCGCAUUAGCUAGUUGGUGAGGUAACGGCUCACCAAGGCGACGAUGCGUAGCCGACCUGAGAGGGUGAUCGGCCACACUGGGACUGAGACACGGCCCAGACUCCUACGGGAGGCAGCAGUAGGGAAUCUUCCGCAAUGGACGAAAGUCUGACGGAGCAACGCCGCGUGAGUGAUGAAGGUUUUCGGAUCGUAAAACUCUGUUGUUAGGGAAGAACAAGUACCGUUCGAAUAGGGCGGCACCUUGACGGUACCUAACCAGAAAGCCACGGCUAACUACGUGCCAGCAGCCGCGGUAAUACGUAGGUGGCAAGCGUUGUCCGGAAUUAUUGGGCGUAAAGCGCGCGCAGGCGGUUUCUUAAGUCUGAUGUGAAAGCCCCCGGCUCAACCGGGGAGGGUCAUUGGAAACUGGGGAACUUGAGUGCAGAAGAGGAGAGUGGAAUUCCACGUGUAGCGGUGAAAUGCGUAGAGAUGUGGAGGAACACCAGUGGCGAAGGCGACUCUCUGGUCUGUAACUGACGCUGAGGCGCGAAAGCGUGGGGAGCGAACAGGAUUAGAUACCCUGGUAGUCCACGCCGUAAACGAUGAGUGCUAAGUGUUAGAGGGUUUCCGCCCUUUAGUGCUGCAGCAAACGCAUUAAGCACUCCGCCUGGGAG